This 257-nucleotide long non-coding RNA is filed under the name Gossypium barbadense (sea-island cotton). RNAcentral's name for it is "long non-coding RNA (GBAR_LNC014090)". The record is from RNAcentral. Lineage: Eukaryota; Viridiplantae; Streptophyta; Magnoliopsida; Malvales; Malvaceae.
UUGUUAUUUCCUUUUCUUAUUUUCUCGACUUCUAACUUUAGGACGUCGACGUCUAACCCUAGCUGCAUUUUUUCCUCUUCCAACUGUUCUAUCUUUUUCCCCAACUCCAAACUCCUCUUGUCAAAGUCUUUCUUUAUGAUCUCUAGCUCAGAUGGGAUCAUUUGUAGGUUUUUUGCUAUUGGCCGAGUGUUUUCUUAACUUGACAUAGGGACAUUAUCAUUGACUCUUUUACCCCACCACCAAUUAUAUUUGGGGGU